AGAUAACUUAAGAGGCAACUCUUAACUGGCCAUCUAGGGAAAAACCGAGAGGUUCAAGACUAGAGGGCAGAAAACUCUGCAAAGCAGCGCUAAACAUGCAGAGCGGCGGGUUCGGCGGUAGCGCAUACAACGACGAACCAA
This 141-nucleotide non-coding RNA is filed under the name unclassified sequences. Its description in RNAcentral is "IMES-2 RNA motif". It matches the Rfam family "IMES-2 RNA motif". The record is from Rfam by way of RNAcentral.